GUGAGUAGUUCAGAGUUUGAUCCUGGCUCAGGACGAACGCUGGCGGCGUGCCUAACACAUGCAAGUCGAACGGAGAUAAACGCUGAUUUGAAGGUAGCUUGCUACUGGAUUUUCUUGUUUAUCUUAGUGGCGGACGGGUGAGUAACGCGUGAGUAACCUGCCCUUGAGAGGGGAAUAACGUUCUGAAAAGAACGCUAAUACCGCAUAACAUAUAUUUGUCGCAUGGCAGAUAUAUCAAAGAUUUUAUCGCUCAAGGAUGGACUCGCGUCCGAUUAGUUAGUUGGUGAGGUAACGGCUCACCAAGACCGCGAUCGGUAGCCGGACUGAGAGGUUGAACGGCCACAUUGGGACUGAGACACGGCCCAG
Molecule: ribosomal RNA, 366 nt
Filed under: uncultured bacterium
Lineage: Bacteria
Description: bacterial SSU rRNA
Rfam family: Bacterial small subunit ribosomal RNA
Source: RNAcentral